CCUACGGGGCGCAGCAGUGAGGAAUAUUGGUCAAUGGGCGGAAGCCUGAACCAGCCAAGUCGCGUGAGGGAAGAAGGCCCUGCGGGUCGCAGACCUCUUUGGACGGGGAGCAAGGCCGCCGACGUGUCGGCGGAGGGAGAGUACCCGUAGAACAAGCAUCGGCUAACUACGUGCCAGCAGCCGCGGUAAUACGUAGGUGGCAAGCGUUAUCCGGAUUUAUUGGGCGUAAAGCGAGCGCAGGCGGUUGCUUAGGUCUGAUGUGAAAGCCUUCGGCUU
This 276-nucleotide ribosomal RNA is filed under the name uncultured bacterium. RNAcentral describes it as "partial 16S ribosomal RNA". It matches the Rfam family "Bacterial small subunit ribosomal RNA", at positions 338 to 610 of the family's 1533-position model. The record is from RNAcentral.